AUUCUGGCUCAGGAUGAACGCUAGCUACAGGCUUAACACAUGCAAGUCGAGGGGAAACGACAUCGAAAGCUUGCUUUUGAUGGGCGUCGACCGGCGCACGGGUGAGUAACGCGUAUCCAACCUGCCCACCACUUGGGGAUAACCUUGCGAAAGUAAGACUAAUACCCAAUGACGUCUCUAGAAGACAUCUGAAAGAGAUUAAAGAUUUAUCGGUGAUGGAUGGGGAUGCGUCUGAUUAGCUUGUUGGCGGGGUAACGGCCCACCAAGGCGACGAUCAGUAGGGGUUCUGAGAGGAAGGUCCCCCACAUUGGAACUGAGACACGGUCCAAACUCCUACGGGAGGCAGCAGUGAGGAAUAUUGGUCAAUGGACGAGAGUCUGAACCAGCCAAGUAGCGUGCAGGAUGACGGCCCUAUGGGUUGUAAACUGCUUUUAUAAGGGAAUAAAGUGAGCCUCGUGAGGCUUUUUGCAUGUACCUUAUGAAUAAGGACCGGCUAAUUCCGUGCCAGCAGCCGCGGUAAUACGGAAGGUCCGGGCGUUAUCCGGAUUUAUUGGGUUUAAAGGGAGCGUAGGCCGGAGAUUAAGCGUGUUGUGAAAUGUAGACGCUCAACGUCUGCACUGCAGCGCGAACUGGUUUCCUUGAGUACGCACAAAGUGGGCGGAAUUCGUGGUGUAGCGGUGAAAUGCUUAGAUAUCACGAAGAACUCCGAUUGCGAAGGCAGCUCACUGGAGCGCAACUGACGCUGAAGCUCGAAAGUGCGGGUAUCGAACAGGAUUAGAUACCCUGGUAGUCCGCACGGUAAACGAUGGAUGCCCGCUGUUGGUCUGAAUAGGUCAGCGGCCAAGCGAAAGCAUUAAGCAUCCCACCUGGGGAGUACGCCGGCAACGGUGCAACUCAAAGGAAUUGACGG
RNAcentral lists this ribosomal RNA (910 nucleotides) under uncultured Bacteroidota bacterium. Its description in RNAcentral is "bacterial SSU rRNA". It matches the Rfam family "Bacterial small subunit ribosomal RNA", at positions 16 to 916 of the family's 1533-position model. The record is from RNAcentral. Lineage: Bacteria; Pseudomonadati; Bacteroidota.